This 22-nucleotide microRNA is filed under the name Solanum tuberosum (potato). RNAcentral's name for it is "stu-miR8036-3p". Lineage: Eukaryota; Viridiplantae; Streptophyta; Magnoliopsida; Solanales; Solanaceae. The record is from miRBase by way of RNAcentral.
UAUGUCUUUCCGAUGCCUCCCA